Cyprinus carpio (common carp) is the source of this 934-nucleotide long non-coding RNA. RefSeq lists it as uncharacterized. The record is from RefSeq and is a predicted model, not a curated record. The transcript is spliced from 2 exons. Lineage: Eukaryota; Metazoa; Chordata; Actinopteri; Cypriniformes; Cyprinidae.
GUUUGUCCCAGAUCACAAUAAUGAAGCAGAAGAAUAUAUCUACGUGUUUAUUUGGAUGUAGUACAAAAAGGACACAAAGUGCAAAGCAUUAAAAUAUUUAUAUAUAUUCACCUUAUUUUCCAUGGCAACAACGGUGCCGCCAUUGCGUUCGUUUUGUCAUCUUACUUCCGGCUGAGGGACCUGACGUACCUAAGCUAGUGGCUAGAUAACAGAACGCAAAUAUAUCAAGUAUUAUAUGCUCAGUUAGGGGCUGCAUAACAAUUGUAUUAAAAAAACAAUUGCACCAACGAUGUUGCGAACACACUGCGAAGCGGUCGUGGUGCACUUUACAACUGACACCCACCACCUAAAGAAGAGGAGCACCUGAGACAACGGCUGAAGGUGCUGAAUUUGAAGCGCCCACAUGUGUGUUCAUAUCAUUUCAUGGACGGGAAGCCGACUGACGAACACACUUACCCCGAGAAAUGGCUCGGCUACGAUGUUCUGGUAAAGAAGUCACGCCGGGUGCUGAAAAGGUUGUCAGAUUCGGAUGUAUCGAUCAGCGCCAGUGAUGCAGUGGACAACUGUGAGGGUGAUCAGAUCCACAUGCCCCUUGACCUUGCUGAAAGUCACCAGAAGUUACCUGCUGUAAUAGUUAUUUUAAUGAACCUUUACAAUGUCACCUGACAUUACCUGCUGUGAAUAGUUUUUUUUUUUUUUUUUAUCUUAGUUUGAUCAUUUUUUAUCUUUAACCUCUGAUUUGAAGGAAUAAGUCAUGUCAAGUUUGCAGGUUAAUUCCAUCUUGGUUUAUUACAUAUGGAAAUUAAACGGUGAAAUUUUACAGGAUGGUCAGUAGAAAGUGUCUCUUGCUUCCUGAAAACAACAAACACUGAUCAACAAAUCAUAAAUGAUUUUAUACAACUUAUAAUAAAUUAUACAUUUUCUAAAACACAAA